ACUACCACUGGCUGGAUUCCAAUGGAAGCCACACGGGAAGGGAGCUCUUGAUGCAGCCUGCAGCUCACACAGGGUGGAGCAAGAUGGAGGAGGAGUAGGAGACCUGGAUUUCAUCUGGUUCCAAGAAUUCAGCUGGAUAAGGGUCAAACCACUCUGAACACCUGCAAACCCAAUAGGAGAUCAAAGAAAAGAAUAGCAGCAACUCUCUGAACAGAAAAGCGACCAUUUUCUGGAAGGUGUAUGCAUUCUUUUGAUCGCAUCUCCCAAACAAGCAGGAGGCUUUCCAGGUGACAUUUAUCUUCUUGGCACUGACAUCCAGAAUAUAGAGCACGAUGCUACGAACCGGAGCCCCUGGACCGAAGAAGGCCUUCUCUUGUACUAAGUGUACGGAAACGGAGAGGAGCAACAUAGGAGGGAGCUGCCCUUUGCAUCUUUUAAAGAAAACCUGAAGGUUAGCUUUGACACACUUAAGAAGACAAGAUGGUGUUUCCCCUCAGUUAUUUGUCAUAAUUAUUGGACCUGAUUCUCUGAGGUUUUUCCAAGUCACCAUUGUCUGGAGAGAAUUGUGAGUAACCUAGAACAAAAGUUUCCACAAGAUCAUCUGGUCUAGUCCUUGACUUAAGAGAGAUGCACUGUUGAGUUGACCUCUUUAACCUACAGUUGGAGUUAUCUGAUUUUAUCUGUAUUACUUUUCUUUCUGAUGGAAACUUGCUAACUCCCCAUUGUCUCCUUCCCCCCUCACCAUGAUUUCUCUCAACAGGAGUUGACCCCAUUAGCAGGUGUGGAUUUAAGUUAUUUGCCCAUGACAAUUAAUACCUUCUUGAAUUUUCAUAUGUGUCUGGGUCCACCUGCUUAAAGUACUGUUCUUCUUCUAAAAAGACAAUUAAAAUGCUUUGAUUUUUCACCAAAAGAUGAUUUUCACCCAACUUUUUGGAACUCAAAAUAGAAUAACUUCCUUAAGGAGAAAGUGGUCUAUUCCUUGCCUUAAGAGAAGGUAAAUAACCUCCCUUAGGCUUCCCUCUAUUUCCAUACCGCUAUGAAAACCAAUGUUAACAGUUGGUGUGUAUCCCCUUAAUGACUUUUUCCAUGUUUAUACAAGAGUACAGAAACAGAGAGCUGUCAUUUGAUUAAUUUGAUAAAAGUUGAUAUCAUCCUAUACACGACUCCAACGUGCUUUUCUCACUUAACAUGAUCUUAUGACCUUAUAAGCUCUCUAGUGACAAGAGCUCCUUCACUGCCUUUAAAAGUAGCAAAAGAUUCUGUAGUUCAAAUAUUGCCACAAUUUAUUCACUCAUCUUCCCACUGAAGGUCAGAAUUUUGCCUUCUAUGUGAUCACUGUUGGUUGACAAGCACCAUUCCAUGACUAUUGUCCUACCAAGCAUUUUGGGUAACUUGAUUUCCUGCUAUUUCGGCAGAAACUUCAACUCUUUAUCAGAGAAUGGAGAUUUGCUUG
This is a long non-coding RNA of Mirounga angustirostris (Northern elephant seal), 1453 nucleotides long. RefSeq lists it as uncharacterized. The transcript has 4 exons. The record is from RefSeq and is a predicted model, not a curated record. NCBI's taxonomy places the organism in Eukaryota, Metazoa, Chordata, Mammalia, Carnivora, Phocidae.